GACGAACGCUGGCGGCGUGCUUAACACAUGCAAGUCGAACGGAAAGGCCCUGCUUUUGUGGGGUGCUCGAGUGGCGAACGGGUGAGUAACACGUGAGUAACCUGCCCUUGGCUUUGGGAUAACUUCAGGAAACUGGGGCUAAUACCGGAUAGGAGCUCCUGCUGCAUGGUGGGGGUUGGAAAGUUUCGGCGGUUGGGGAUGGACUCGCGGCUUAUCAGCCUGUUGGUGGGGUAGUGGCUUACCAAGGCUUUGACGGGUAGCCGGCCUGAGAGGGUGACCGGCCACAUUGGGACUGAGAUACGGCCCAGACUCCUACGGGAGGCAGCAGUGGGGAAUAUUGCACAAUGGGCGGAAGCCUGAUGCAGCAACGCCGCGUGCGGGAUGACGGCCUUCGGGUUGUAAACCGCUUUCGCCUGUGACGAAGCGUGAGUGACGGUAAUGGGUAAAGAAGCACCGGCUAACUACGUG
Molecule: ribosomal RNA, 468 nt
Filed under: uncultured bacterium
Lineage: Bacteria
Description: partial 16S ribosomal RNA
Rfam family: Bacterial small subunit ribosomal RNA
Source: RNAcentral